This 253-nucleotide ribosomal RNA is filed under the name uncultured bacterium. Its description in RNAcentral is "partial 16S ribosomal RNA". It matches the Rfam family "Bacterial small subunit ribosomal RNA", at positions 524 to 776 of the family's 1533-position model. The record is from RNAcentral.
UACGUAGGAGGCGAGCGUUGUCCGGAGUUACUGGGCGUAAAGGGUGCGCAGGUGGCCGUGCGCGUGGGGAGUGAAAUCGCCUGGCUUAACUGGGCGGGGGCUUUCCAGACGGCGCGGCUUGAGCCACAGAGGGGGGCGUGGAAUUCCGGGUGGAGCGGUGAAAUGCGUAGAGAUCCGGAGGAACACCAAAGGCGAAGGCAGUGUCCUGGGGAGUACCUGACGCUCAGGUGCGAAAGCCAGGGGAGCGAACGGG